AUGGAGAAGCAAAAAGCCAUCCUAAAAUUUUUCCGGACUCUCUCAGAGGAGCAAAAUGAGGACAUAAUGCAAGGAGACACGGAGCUGAGCUUCAAUCUGAAGAAAAAUGGGGAUAUGAGAUUUGAAGAUGCUCUGGAGAGCAGUAGAGACUCCUUAUUGUACUUUAUAUCGCCUCUGGAAGAAGAGGAGAUCACCUCAAACCCAGUGGGACGUUUAGGAAAUGACACAGAGAUGACAGAUGAGGAGAGGAAUAAUGUCAACCUGACGGAGCGGCAACGCAAGGCCGCAAACGAUGAAAAUGUCUCAGAGAGGUGCUGUGACAGUGGCGGCAGCGUAUCGCCGGAUGAAUGCGCUUUGAAGGAAUCCCGGCAAGCAGAGUGUCGACACGUUUCAACUGAGCGCACAGGUAACGAUUGUGAUUGUGUUGCACCAAUGGGUGUUGAGGAGGAUGACACAGAGGAGUCCAACCAGAGAGCGGGAAAAGACAAUCAUCACUGCCAGGAAGAUUUCAUCGUUCCUGAUCCCGAUUGGGGUGCUGAUCCUGGGAAAUCAACCAAAGGUUGGCCAUCCGAAGCCGAACAUGUCGUGAUGACAACAACUCAGACAGGAGCUCGAGUCGAGGUGCAAACUGUCAGCCCUCCGUGUUUUAAAGAUGAUGACGAAGAAGAGAAAAGCUGUGCAGAAGAGGAAAAUGAAGAAGAAGAAGAAAACGAAAAAAGAGACGUAUUCCCGGACUCUUCCGCCCAACUUCCCUUUCCUUCCAUCCCUAAAGACACAAAUAUCGUCAUAACACCUGCAGGUAAUAACCCUCCAACUGGAUCCACCUUCACCAGAGCCACCUUCUCGCCAGGCUCCCCAACAGAUAAGCAGGUCCAGCUCCCAGCCCUCUUCAGCGCGAUGAGGGUCCUGAGGAAGGGGGUGGUCGGGCCCGAGCACGACACCGUGGCCCCGAUCAGGAGGGACGUUUCCCCUGAGAAGCAAGGGGAUGCUAAAGUCCAGGGGGGCUUCCUGGAGCAGAUCUCCCAGCUCCUCAGCAAGGAGAAGAAGGAAGGGGGGGCUGAGGAAGAUGAGGACGACACCAGAGAGAAGGGUGAAGAAGGUGAAGAGUGCGAGAGUAAGGAAGUCCGAACAGAGGAGGGUGCAGAGGUUUCAAAUGAGCGUAGAAAACCUUCUGUGUCCAGUGCGGAGGCAGCAUUCGACGCGUUCAAAGCAUUUUUCACCCCAAAGCCUCUGAAGAAGGACCCAGCAGACAAGGUGGACCUGGAGGCCGUGAGGAAGAAGAUCAGAGCGGAUAAAGACGCGCUGAGAGCGCUUUUUGACAGGACCGCCAAUAAGACGCCAGAGAAGAAAGACUCCCCUGACCUUAAAGUAUGA
RNAcentral lists this long non-coding RNA (1374 nucleotides) under Sparus aurata (gilthead seabream). RNAcentral's name for it is "lncRNA (ENSSAUG00010015584.1)". Lineage: Eukaryota; Metazoa; Chordata; Actinopteri; Spariformes; Sparidae. The record is from RNAcentral.